AUUGAACGCUGGCGGCAGGCCUAACACAUGCAAGUCGAGCGGUUGAGGUAGCUUGCUACCGAUGCAGCGGCGAACGGGUGAGUAAUACAUGGGAAUCUGCCUGGUAGUGGGGGACAACGUCUCGAAAGGGACGCUAAUACCGCAUACGCCCUACGGGGGAAAGGGGGGGAUCUUCGGACCUCUCGCUAUCAGAUGAGCCCAUGUCAGAUUAGCUAGUUGGUAGGGUAAAGGCCUACCAAGGCGACGAUCUGUAACUGGUCUGAGAGGAUGAUCAGUCACACUGGAACUGAGACACGGUCCAGACUCCUACGGGAGGCAGCAGUGGGGAAUAUUGGACAAUGGGCGCAAGCCUGAUCCAGCCAUGCCGCGUGUGUGAAGAAGGCCUUAGGGUUGUAAAGCACUUUCAGUGGGGAGAAAGGUUAUUCACCUAAUACGUGAGUAAAUUGAUGUUACCCACAGAAGAAGCACCGGCUAACUCCGUGCCAGCAGCCGCCGUAA
RNAcentral lists this ribosomal RNA (498 nucleotides) under uncultured bacterium. RNAcentral describes it as "partial 16S ribosomal RNA". It matches the Rfam family "Bacterial small subunit ribosomal RNA", at positions 30 to 523 of the family's 1533-position model. The record is from RNAcentral.